CGGGGGAAGGAAGGAGGGUGGGGUGCAAGGGAGGAAGCGUGGAGAGGGAGGGGGAGGCGGGACAGACCAGGAGGGCUCUUACUCCUCUGGGCUUUUCCCCCACUUUCCAGACACUCGAUGGAUCCACCCACAUUCACUUCCAACUUUAACAAUGAACUUUGGGUCAGAGGACGGCAUGAGACUUACCUGUGUUAUGAGGUGGAGCGCCUGCACAAUGACACCUGGGUCCUGCUGAACCAGCGCAGGGGCUUUUUAUGCAACCAGGCUCCACAUAAACAUGGUUUCCUUGAAGGCCGCCAUGCAGAGCUGUGCUUCCUGGACGUGAUUCCCUUUUGGAAGCUGGACCUGCACCAGGACUACAGGGUUACCUGCUUCACCUCCUGGAGCCCCUGCUUCAGCUGUGCCCAGGAAAUGGCUAAAUUCAUUUCAAAUAACAAACACGUGAGCCUGUGCAUCUUCGCUGCCCG
RNAcentral lists this long non-coding RNA (467 nucleotides) under Pan troglodytes (chimpanzee). Its description in RNAcentral is "long non-coding RNA NONPTRT009619". The record is from RNAcentral. Lineage: Eukaryota; Metazoa; Chordata; Mammalia; Primates; Hominidae.